ACUUCAAAAUAUUCUUAUGAAAUGGAUGGCAUCUCUGUAUCCUGUGGAAAGAGUGAAUCUGGUCUGUAAAAGCUAAAUACACUGAUGGUGGUCUAAUCAAGCUUCACUUCUGGAAGUGCUGACUAGCCACUUCUGCUGCCAAAAGGGAUCUAAACUGCAAACGUUCAGUGUGAUAGUGAAUACUUAUGACAGUGAGCAUCCUAAUCAAAUAUGUUUUUGAUACUAUAGAUAUUUCAGGUCUGAGAGAGAACUUGGUCCUGGUGAAAUGACUGCAGAUUCAGCUUUUAAUACAGAGAGACAUGUUUGUUUUAAACUGGAAUGUAAGAGAGCAGAGGGCAUUUUCAGUCUUCAGAGAAGCACCAGUCAGAAUUCAUCUUAAAAAUGAACAGGAAAAAAAGUUUGCUUUGGAAGUAAAGGAUGUUUUUUCUGAAAUAGCUGGUAAAACACAAUUAGACAGCAGUUAAGUUGUUUGCUCAUACUAUGUAGGAGAUCUGUGGAAAAAUAAGCAGUAAGUAAUCUAAAAUUAGAAUAGUACAUUCUCUCACAGCAGGAAAUAACUGCUCUCAGUUCUUCUUGAAAAUCAAAGAAAAACAAACUUUUAACAAAAAACAUCAAAUUUUUUCUGUAAUCUUUGUAAAACAUUACGCAAUGUAAAGCAAUACAAUGAAGUAGGAGAUUUUUUAAUAAAUUAAAACACUGUUAGUAUCUAGAGCAUUAAAUAUGACUAUUCUGCCAGAAUUACUAUGAAUCAGAGGUAAUGUCUGGUUUAUUAGUGUACUGUGUACGUACCAUAUAAUAAUGGAAAACAACUUAAAACUUUCUGGCCUUAAGACACUUAUUGUGUGUCUGUGUCUGAACUCACUUUUCGUGAGAAAAGACCAUCUCCAAAUUUUAAUUA
This is a long non-coding RNA of Tympanuchus pallidicinctus (lesser prairie-chicken), 898 nucleotides long. RefSeq lists it as uncharacterized. NCBI's taxonomy places the organism in Eukaryota, Metazoa, Chordata, Aves, Galliformes, Phasianidae. The transcript has 3 exons. The record is from RefSeq and is a predicted model, not a curated record.